Molecule: long non-coding RNA, 1005 nt
Organism: Astyanax mexicanus (Mexican tetra)
Lineage: Eukaryota; Metazoa; Chordata; Actinopteri; Characiformes; Acestrorhamphidae
Exons: 2
Source: RefSeq, a predicted model, not a curated record
GAUAGUGAGAGAUUCUCCUGAUCUGGUAGUAGAAGGUAGUUAGUUAGAGGUGUUAGGAGAGUAAGUGCUCUUUGAAGAGCUCUGUCUUCAGAAGUUUAUUAAAGAUAGUGAGAGAUUCUCCUGAUCUGGUAGUAGAAGGUAGUUAGUUAGAGGUGUUAAGAGAGUAAGUGCUCUUUGAAGAGCUCUGUCUUCAGAAGUUUAUUAAAGAUAGUCAGAGAUUCUCCUGAUCUGGUAGUAGAAGGUAGUUAGUUAGAGGUGUUAGGAGAGUAAGUGCUCUUUGAAGAGCUCUGUCUUCAGGAGUUUAUUAAAGAUAGUGAGAGAUUCUCCUGAUCUGGUAGUGGAAGGUAGUUAGUUAGAGGUGUUAGGAGAGUAAGUGCUCUUUGAAGAGCUCUGUCUUCAGGAGUUUAUUAAAGAUAGUGAGAGAUUCUCCUGAUCUGGUAGUAGAAGGUAGUUAGUUAGAGGUGUUAAGAGAGUAAGUGCUCUUUGAAGAGCUCUGUCUUCAGGAGUUUAUUAAAGAUAGUGAGAGAUUCUCCUGAUCUGGUAGUAGAAGGUAGUUUGUUCCACCAUUGGGGAACUCUGUAUGAGAAUCUUGUGCUCCUUAUGUAUGAAUUUUACCUGUCAGGUUGUAAAGAGCAGUAAAACCACUUCACUGAAUUACAGCAUUGGAGUUUGAGUUUAGUUCACCAGCUCUGAGACUUGAGACUGGAGCAGUAUUAGCAUUAGCUGCUAACCGCGCUAAGCUCUAGCUCUUUCACUAGUCAGAGAUGAGAAUUAUCGGCCUGCAGCCUGCUCCUGACCCCGGCUAGCACUCCUGGAGCAGCAUUAGCAUUACCUGCUAAUCACGCUAGUUAGCCCUUUUGCCGUUCAGAAGCGAGUAUAUCGGAGUGUAGCCUUCCUGUUUACCGUGUUUCCUCUCCUGCUGGCCCCUGACACCCUUUAUCUCUGUAAUGGGCAUUGUUUGUAUUGUUUUUGUUUCUUAAUAAAUAUAAAUUUGAUAUUUUUUUU